Molecule: transfer RNA, 71 nt
Filed under: Heterocephalus glaber (naked mole-rat)
Lineage: Eukaryota; Metazoa; Chordata; Mammalia; Rodentia; Bathyergidae
Rfam family: tRNA
About the family: Transfer RNA (tRNA) molecules are approximately 80 nucleotides in length.
Source: Rfam by way of RNAcentral
GAGGGUGUAGCUCAGUGGUAGAGCACUUGCCUUGCAUGCAUUAAGCCCUGGGCUUGAUCCUCAGCACACCA